GACGAACGCUGGCGGCGUGCUUAACACAUGCAAGUCGAACGGAAAGGCCCUGCUUGCCGGGUACUCGAGUGGCGAACGGGUGAGUAACACGUGGGUGAUCUGCCCUGCACUUCGGGAUAAGCCUGGGAAACUGGGUCUAAUACCGGAUAGGAGCCAUUUUUAGUGUGAUGGUUGGAAAGUUUUUUCGGUGUAGGAUGAGCUCGCGGCCUAUCAGCUUGUUGGUGGGGUAAUGGCCUACCAAGGCGGCGACGGGUAGCCGGCCUGAGAGGGUGGACGGCCACAUUGGGACUGAGAUACGGCCCAGACUCCUACGGGAGGCAGCAGUGGGGAAUAUUGCACAAUGGGCGCAAGCCUGAUGCAGCGACGCCGCGUGGGGGAUGACGGCCUUCGGGUUGUAAACUCCUUUCGCUAGGGACGAAGCUUUUUGUGACGGGACCUAGAUAAGAAGCACCGGCUAACUACGG
RNAcentral lists this ribosomal RNA (464 nucleotides) under uncultured bacterium. RNAcentral's name for it is "partial 16S ribosomal RNA". It matches the Rfam family "Bacterial small subunit ribosomal RNA", at positions 28 to 506 of the family's 1533-position model. The record is from RNAcentral.